AAUGAACUUGGACGUGCAGUAGUCUUGUAAAGUAAAGAGUUUUAUUAUAAUGAAGAUUUAGUAAAAAGUGAUGAAGAAAUUACUUUAAUAGAUACAGUGUAAGAUUUGGUAGAUGAAGAUUGUGAAUUGAGACUGAAUGGUUGGAAUAUAGACGCUAAAGCUAUUAUUGCACUUCACCGCAAAUUGCUAAUCAUCACUGUUCAAAAUGUUCUGGUUACUUCUAUUCCUGAGUAUGCCUAAUAGAUCAAUCCAAGUAGGUCUAGUAGGCAACCCUUUAGCUCACGCCUAUCCUUGUGAAGAUAAUCACAACAUAACAGCCACUUUUGAAUCCGGUCUACCACCAGGUGAAGAGAAUCAGUAUUAUUUGAAUAUUAAAGGGACAAUACAAAAGUAUUCGCAAAUUAAUUUGAAGUUUGAUUCUGAUGCUACUGUUGUUUUGUCGGAUCCAAUGAAAGCUCGAAUAACUGCGUACACCAAUUCAAACUCAUUCAACGUGAGAUUCUUUAAAGGAUCUCCUAAUCUAAAUAUUAACGUCAGAGGACCAGCCACAGGUACAAUACCGUACGUCCAAAGCAUUAUACUGGACAAUGACGAAAUCUGUAACAAGCCCUCAUCUGGUUAUUUCGACUCACUUAUUGAAGGCGUCAAAGAUACAGCUGAAAUCACCCUGACAGUACCAGCUGAUCAAUCUUGUGGAAGACGUAAGGUAGUCCAUACAGAACUGAUAGUCCAUGGCCAGCCAACGAAGUCAGGAGACUGGCCCUGGCAUGUGGCUUUGUUCACAGUUGAGGGGAAUAUUGUUAAGUACAUAUGCGGAGGAACUUUACUGUCCAAGACUUUGGUUUUAACAGCUGCUCACUGCGCAUCAAUUAGAGGGAAUGCAGUUGUUCCUAAAUCUUUGAGUGUUAUUCUUGGAAAACAUAAUCUUAUUGGUGGAGAUGUUGCACCACAAGAAAGAGAGGUAUUCGAAAUUAUUCUUCACAAGGAGUUUGAUCCCAGAACUUUGAAUAAUGAUAUUGCUUUAUUGAAAUUGAAGUCUGAAGCAGUAUUUGAUGAUUACGUUCAACCAGCUUGCUUGUGGCAGUCCAGUCUCUACAAGAAACUGCCGAGUGGUGGCAUUUAUGGAUCGGUGGUAGGAUGGGGGUUCGACCAUCAGGACAUAUUAUCGACCACUCUGCAACAAAUUACUAUUCCUAUAGUAUCGGAGGCGACGUGUUUGAAGAGUAAUCCUGUCUUCUUUCACAAUAAACUUAAUACUAACAAGUUCUGUGCGGGUUUUGCUAAUGGGACGUCAGCUUGCAAUGGUGACAGUGGAGGUGGUCUAGUAGUCUUCGUGCCAGAUGUUCCAGGUGCCAAGACUCAAGAGUCUGGCGCUUGGCACGUUCGUGGUAUCGUUUCUACUACAGUCAGCAGGACAGACGCACCCAUAUGUGACCCUAAUCAGUACACAUUGUUCACUGAUGUGGCGAAAUAUCGAAGGUGGAUUCUGAGUUACUUGGAUUAGAGUUUAAAACUGAAUAAAGGAAUGAAAACGCGGCGAACGUUCCGGUUACAGCGAUAAUUAUAUAAUCACCGAAGUUCAAUGAACUGAAUGUCUGAAAAACGAAGAUUCAAACAACUAACUUUGCUCUCAAGACAAGCGGAGGGGUGAGAGAAAAAAUAUAAAUUGCCCCCAUGCUCUU
Spodoptera litura is the source of this 1682-nucleotide RNA transcript. It is a transcript of the gene named chymotrypsinogen B-like, with no coding region annotated. Lineage: Eukaryota; Metazoa; Arthropoda; Insecta; Lepidoptera; Noctuidae. The record is from RefSeq and is a predicted model, not a curated record.